This 617-nucleotide ribosomal RNA is filed under the name uncultured bacterium. RNAcentral describes it as "bacterial SSU rRNA". It matches the Rfam family "Bacterial small subunit ribosomal RNA", at positions 8 to 607 of the family's 1533-position model. The record is from RNAcentral.
AGAGUUUGAUCCUGGCUCAGGAUGAACGCUGGCGGCGUGCCUAAUACGUGCAAGUCGAACGCACAGCGAAAGGUGCUUGCACCUUUCAAGUGAGUGGCGAACGGGUGAGUAACACGUGGACAACCUGCCUCAAGGCUGGGGAUAACAUUUGGAAACAGAUGCUAAUACCGAAUAAAACUCAGUGUCGCAUGACACAAAGUUAAAAGGCGCUUUGGCGUCACCUAGAGAUGGAUCCGCGGUGCAUUAGUUAGUUGGUGGGGUAAAGGCCUACCAAGACAAUGAUGCAUAGCCGAGUUGAGAGACUGAUCGGCCACAUUGGGACUGAGACACGGCCCAAACUCCUACGGGAGGCUGCAGUAGGGAAUCUUCCACAAUGGGCGAAAGCCUGAUGGAGCAACGCCGCGUGUGUGAUGAAGGCUUUCGGGUCGUAAAGCACUGUUGUAUGGGAAGAACAGCUAGAAUAGGGAAUGAUUUUAGUUUGACGGUACCAUACCAGAAAGGGACGGCUAAAUACGUGCCAGCAGCCGCGGUAAUACGUAUGUCCCGAGCGUUAUCCGGAUUUAUUGGGCGCAAAGCGAGCGCAGACGGUUGAUUAAGUCUGAUGUGAAAGCCCGGAG